This 438-nucleotide ribosomal RNA is filed under the name uncultured bacterium. RNAcentral describes it as "bacterial SSU rRNA". It matches the Rfam family "Bacterial small subunit ribosomal RNA", at positions 339 to 794 of the family's 1533-position model. The record is from RNAcentral.
CUACGGGAGGCAGCAGUGGGGAAUAUUGCACAAUGGGGGAAACCCUGAUGCAGCGACGCCGCGUGAGUGAAGAAGUAUUUCGGUAUGUAAAGCUCUAUCAGCAGGGAAGAAAAUGACGGUACCUGACUAAGAAGCCCCGGCUAACUACGUGCCAGCAGCCGCGGUAAUACGUAGGGGGCAAGCGUUAUCCGGAUUUACUGGGUGUAAAGGGAGCGUAGGUGGUUCGGUAAGUCAGAUGUGAAAGCCCGGGGCUCAACCCCGGGACUGCAUUUGAAACUAUCGAACUAGAGUGCAGGAGAGGUAAGUGGAAUUCCUAGUGUAGCGGUGAAAUGCGUAGAUAUUAGGAGGAACACCAGUGGCGAAGGCGGCUUACUGGACUGUAACUGACACUGAGGCUCGAAAGCGUGGGGAGCAAACAGGCUUAGAUACCCUGGUAGU